Molecule: ribosomal RNA, 253 nt
Filed under: uncultured bacterium
Lineage: Bacteria
Description: partial 16S ribosomal RNA
Rfam family: Bacterial small subunit ribosomal RNA
Source: RNAcentral
UACAGAGGGUGCGAGCGUUGUCCGGAUUUACUGGGCGUAAAGAGCGCGCAGGCGGUCGUACAAGUCGCGUGUGAAAGCCCCCGGCUCAACUGGGGAGGGUCACGCGAUACUGGUCGACUCGAAGGCAGGAGAGGGUAGUGGAAUUCCCGGUGUAGUGGUGAAAUGCGUAGAUAUCGGGAGGAACACCAGUGGCGAAGGCGACUACCUGGCCUGUUCUUGACGCUGAGGCGCGAAAGCUAGGGGAGCAAACGGG